This 231-nucleotide long non-coding RNA is filed under the name Solanum tuberosum (potato). RNAcentral's name for it is "long non-coding RNA (STUB_LNC000009)". The record is from RNAcentral. Lineage: Eukaryota; Viridiplantae; Streptophyta; Magnoliopsida; Solanales; Solanaceae.
AUACUAUUUCUAUUCUAAUAUAUAUAUAUUAUUCACUGCUAUUCUUAUUCAUUUAACACAAACCAUAUUAUAAUUGUUGGUUAAAAAAAUUAAUUUAGUUCCAACAUAAAAAAAUGAAAAAAUGUGAAAGAGAAAAAACAAAGAAAAACAAAAACUAAAAACUGAAAAAUGGUUAUGGCCGUCUUUUAUAACUAUAAAUUCCCUCCUCCUCCUCCCCCUUUUUCUUAUGUU